This 443-nucleotide ribosomal RNA is filed under the name Malaciobacter molluscorum. RNAcentral's name for it is "bacterial SSU rRNA". It matches the Rfam family "Bacterial small subunit ribosomal RNA", at positions 338 to 795 of the family's 1533-position model. Lineage: Bacteria; Pseudomonadati; Campylobacterota; Epsilonproteobacteria; Campylobacterales; Arcobacteraceae. The record is from RNAcentral.
CCUACGGGAGGCAGCAGUGGGGAAUAUUGCGCAAUGGGGGAAACCCUGACCCAGCAACGCCGCGUGAAGGAAGAAGGCUUUCGGGUUGUAAACUUCUUUUAGCAGGGACGAAGGACGUGACGGUACCUGCAGAAAAAGCAACGGCUAACUACGUGCCAGCAGCCGCGGUAAUACGUAGGUUGCAAGCGUUGUCCGGAUUUACUGGGUGUAAAGGGCGUGUAGGCGGAGGCGCAAGUUGGGAGUGAAAUCUAUGGGCUCAACCCAUAAACUGCUCUCAAAACUGUGUCCCUUGAGUAUCGGAGAGGCAAGCGGAAUUCCUAGUGUAGCGGUGAAAUGCGUAGAUAUUAGGAGGAACACCAGUGGCGAAGGCGGCUUGCUGGACGACAACUGACGCUGAGGCGCGAAAGCGUGGGGAGCAAACAGGAUUAGAUACCCUGGUAGUC